RNAcentral lists this ribosomal RNA (114 nucleotides) under Rhododendron molle. The record is from RNAcentral. Lineage: Eukaryota; Viridiplantae; Streptophyta; Magnoliopsida; Ericales; Ericaceae.
UGCGACCAUACCAGCACUAAAGCACCAGAUCCCAUCAGAACUCUGAAGUUAAGUGUGCUUGGGCGAGAGUAGUACUAGGAUGGGUGACCUCUUGGGAAGUCCUCGUGUUGCACU